Molecule: small nuclear RNA, 185 nt
Organism: Arvicanthis niloticus (Nile rat)
Lineage: Eukaryota; Metazoa; Chordata; Mammalia; Rodentia; Muridae
Product: U2 spliceosomal RNA
Source: RefSeq, a predicted model, not a curated record
ACUGCUUCUUGGCCUUUGGCUAAGACCCCAAAUAGUAUCUGUCCUUGCCAGUUUACCAUACUAUGUGCUCUGUCCAGAACAACAUAUGAAACAAGUUUCUAAAGCAGGGAGAUGGAAGGGAACUUGUUACAUCCACUUCACAGGUCAACCUGGUAUUGUAGAGCCUCAGAAAAAAUGCACCCCUU